CCUACGGGAGGCAGCAGUGGGGAAUCUUGCGCAAUGGGGGAAACCCUGACGCAGCGACGCCGCGUGGAGGAUGAAGGCCUUCGGGUUGUAAACUCCUGUCAGAGGGGACGAAAUCCCGCAAGGGACUGACGGUACCCUCAGAGGAAGCCCCGGCUAACUACGUGCCAGCAGCCGCGGUAAUACGUAGGGGGCAAGCGUUACUCGGAAUUACUGGGCGUAAAGGGUGAGUAGGCGGCUGGGCAAGUCAAGGAUGAAAUCCCGAGGCUCAACUUCGGAACUGUCCUUGAAACUGCUCAGCUUGAGGGUAGUUGAGGAGAGCGGAAUUCCCGGUGGAGCGGUGAAAUGCGUAGAUAUCGGGGAGGAACACCAGAGGCGAAGGCGGCUCUCUAAGCUACUCUGACGCUGAAUCACGAAAGCUAGGGGAGCAAACG
RNAcentral lists this ribosomal RNA (431 nucleotides) under uncultured Aminicenantes bacterium. RNAcentral's name for it is "bacterial SSU rRNA". It matches the Rfam family "Bacterial small subunit ribosomal RNA", at positions 338 to 774 of the family's 1533-position model. Lineage: Bacteria; Candidatus Aminicenantota. The record is from RNAcentral.